CCGACUACAAAAGCUACUACCACCAGCAAGAAAAACUACUACCACCAGCAACAAAAGCUACUCCAUCAACUAGAAAAGCUACUACCACCGACUACAAAAGCUACUACCACUAGCAAAAAAAGCUACUAUCCCUAACUACAAAAGCUACUACCAUACAUAAUAAAAUCUACUACUACCAAGUAAUACAAAAUAUACUAUUACAGUGUCAAAAAUAUACUAUCGUAAUGACAAAAAUAUACUAUCGUAAUGACAAAAAUAUACUACUACUGUGUUGGAAAUAUACUAUCAUAACCAUAACCAGUCAAUUGUGAGCUUGUUGAGCGUUGAGCAUGUCAAGAGGACGGUUCCAUUCUCGGUAGAGCCUUCGUUUCCCGACGCUGUCGAUGCCAGCAACGACGGGUUUAUCUGGAUCGGAUCUAGAGGUGAAGGCGCUAGAUGGUUGAGCGGAUCAAAUCAGAAGGCGUCAUUGUCAAUCCGGAGGCUUCAUCGUUGGGCCGGCGACGUCGAGGUCGAAUCAGAACACGUCAAGGUCAAAUCAGAAGAGGCCGAGGUUAAGGCCGAAUUAGAAGUCUGGAUCGGAUCUAGAGGUGAAGGCGCUAGAUGGUUGAGCGGAUCAAAUCAGAAGGCUUUAUCGUCGAUCCGGAGGCUUCGUCGUUGGACCGGCGAUGUCGAGGUCGAAUCAGAAGAGGCCGAGGUUGAGGCCGAAUUAGAAGUCGUCGUUGAUGGAAUUAGACGCAGUCAAGGCGUCAACGUCAAGCUGGCAGCGUCGAGGUCGAGGCGUCAUCGUUGGCCGGCAGCGUUGAGGUCGAGGUCGAGGCGUCGUCAUCGUCGUCAGAGUAGCAGAUCGGCGCCGAGCUAUCAUCGUCGAGUCAGUGUUGGCCUGAGACGCCGCCAUGGCCGGAGAUUCAAGAUCGGAGAAGAGAGGGAGGAGGAAGACGAUGAGCCAGAGAGAGAGAGAGAGAGAGAGAGAGAGAGAGAGAGAGAGAGAGAGAGAGAGAGAGAGAGAGAGAGAGAGAGAGAGAGAGAGAGAG
This 1031-nucleotide long non-coding RNA is filed under the name Fragaria vesca (wild strawberry). RNAcentral describes it as "long non-coding RNA (FVES_LNC004565)". The record is from RNAcentral. Lineage: Eukaryota; Viridiplantae; Streptophyta; Magnoliopsida; Rosales; Rosaceae.